RNAcentral lists this small RNA (90 nucleotides) under Salmonella enterica. RNAcentral's name for it is "partial RtT sRNA". It matches the Rfam family "RtT RNA", at positions 42 to 130 of the family's 130-position model. From Rfam's summary of the family: This family represents a bacterial cis-regulatory element known as RtT RNA. The exact function of RtT is unknown although it is thought that it may be involved in changing the cellular response in relation to amino acid starvation. The record is from RNAcentral. Lineage: Bacteria; Pseudomonadati; Pseudomonadota; Gammaproteobacteria; Enterobacterales; Enterobacteriaceae.
UUCGAUUCGAGCGCAGCGAGAAAGCGUUGCCGCAGGCAACGACCCGAAGGGUGAGGAGCGGAGCGACGAAUAAUCCUUCCCCCACCACCA